GGAUGACUCUGGCAAGCCAACAGCUGAAAAAGGGUCGAGUGAAGCUAGGUCAUGUUCUAGAACUCUCUCCGAAUACUAGCGUAUCCGAACUCCCCCCUGAGCUCAUAGGCAGAGAAGUCUGGACCACAGAGUUCAGUAGAGCUCUCCCCCAGGAAGAUUCCAUAGCUACGCCUCUCUCAAUGCUCCAAAAACUCAAGUACUAAUG
RNAcentral lists this long non-coding RNA (205 nucleotides) under Elaeis guineensis (African oil palm). RNAcentral's name for it is "long non-coding RNA (EGUI_LNC075009)". The record is from RNAcentral. Lineage: Eukaryota; Viridiplantae; Streptophyta; Magnoliopsida; Arecales; Arecaceae.